GAGAAAAGUUAAUUUAAAAAAUGAAAAGAAAUGACGUGGCAUCAUGCUUUUAUACGACACUCGGCUUUUACCCGCCAGAAUACUCGAGCCAUUGCGAUCUCCUUCUCGCUUCCAAGGCACGGAGGUCGACGGUGAUCGAAGAUGAACCGAGAGAGCUCGGUUGAUCGGUGAACUUGACAGCAGAGUGGCGUUUCUUGCCUUCUGUGCACUCUAUAAUGGUUAGUUAGAGUUUUCAGUUCAACUGAUAUUGCUGUGGCACUCGUAUUCUUUCCUUAAUAGUCAUAAUGGAGGAAGUCGUUUACAUAUUUUUCUCUUCGACUGGUGUUCUUUUGAGUUUGGUUUUUAUCGAGAUUUGCGUUUGCGCAUCUCAGACUUGAUAAUGCUUGUUUCGGUCUUCUUAACUAUUUAAAUUAUGAUGUGAUAAACAGGCGGAUAUUAGAAAGUGGUUCAUGAAAGCACACGAUAAAGACAGCGGCAAUGCGUCAAAGCAUGCAAAACCUGCUCCAAGCAAUUUUGAGAAAUCUGCUUCAACUGAACUCUACAGUCCGGAAAAACAGUGUGUCUUCUGACCCUACUCUUCUUAGCAGUAUAGAUGGCAUGUUCCAAGUAUCAUUAUAUUCUUGAUUCAUCUCCAGUUUCUCUAUCUGCGUAUUUCGCUGGUCCUUUAUUCUAUAAAAACUCCUUGUUAUGUGGAUGGAUUAUUGAUGUCUGUUUCUGGAACCAUAGUUCUUGUAUGACUUGGUGUAUCUGGUGUUUCUGAAGGAAAAUGGAGCUAUAUUUAAUACCUGGUCUUGACUUCAUUUCUGAUGAGGUGUCAUAAAAAGCACAUAAUCUUGAUGUUAAUUAAUUGUCUCUAGUUUUUGGCUUGAUCCUGCAAGAAAGAUAAACUCAGAAUAGAAAAACUCUUGGUAUUCUGGUUCGUAAAUAGAAAGGAUGCACUUCAGAACGAGUAAAAGCAGCUAGAUAUGUUCGAGUAAAAGCAGCUUGACGUUAAAAUGUUAGAGGUGUUGAUGAGGGAGGAUGAAUAUUGGCGACAAAAGACCUCAUGAUGGAAAGUUAGAUGCGGAGUCUUGUUACCGAGCAGGAGACACCAAAUCUGAAGUUAUUUGGUUACUUCAACAACUUACUUUAACAAGAAAGUUGGACGAAAGUGGCUUUCUCGUAUUAGGGCAUGCCUGGAGAUUCUUAUGGUAACUGCUGGAAUGGAAGCUGAGAAUGGGAUGUCUUGUUGAGAUGACAUUUUGUAGAUGCAGGGAUUUCAGGAGGCUUGACUCAUUGGUCUUAUGAAAUUUUACAAAAAAA
Long non-coding RNA from Cucurbita maxima (winter squash), 1302 nucleotides. RefSeq lists it as uncharacterized. Lineage: Eukaryota; Viridiplantae; Streptophyta; Magnoliopsida; Cucurbitales; Cucurbitaceae. The record is from RefSeq and is a predicted model, not a curated record. The transcript is spliced from 3 exons.